This 379-nucleotide unclassified non-coding RNA is filed under the name uncultured Oligoflexales bacterium. Its description in RNAcentral is "contains 16S-23S intergenic spacer region". Lineage: Bacteria; Pseudomonadati; Bdellovibrionota; Oligoflexia; Oligoflexales. The record is from RNAcentral.
UCCGUGUUAACCACGGCAGUCUCCUUAGAGAGCCCAACUUAAUGCUGGCAACUAAGGACAAGGGUUGCGCUCGUUGCGGGACUUAACCCAACAUGUCACCACACGAGCUGACGACAGCCAUGCAGCACCUGUCUCUCUGUCGUAUUGCUACGAAAACUGUAUUUCUACAGCGGUCAGAGGAUGUCAAAUCCAGGUAAGGUUCUUCGCGUUGCUUCGAAUUAAACCACAUGAUCCACCGCUUGUGCGGGCCCCCGUCAAUUCCUUUGAGUUUUAGUCUUGCGACCGUACUCCCCAGGCGCGGUACUUAUCGCGUUAGCUCCGGCUCGGCAGGGGUUAAGACCCACCUAACCUAGUACCGAUCGUUUACAGCGUGGACUAC